GACGAACGCUGGCGGCGUGCCUAACACAUGCAAGUCGAACGGAACUGUUUUGAAAGAUUUCUUCGGAAUGAAUUUGAUUUAGUUUAGUGGCGGACGGGUGAGUAACGCGUGAGUAACCUGCCUUCAAGAGGGGAAUAACAUUCUGAAAAGAAUGCUAAUACCGCAUGACAUAUCGGAACCACAUGGUUUUGAUAUCAAAGAUUUUAUCGCUUGAAGAUGGACUCGCGUCCGAUUAGUUAGUUGGCGAGGUAACGGCUCACCAAGACCGCGAUCGGUAGCCGGACUGAGAGGUUGAACGGCCACAUUGGGACUGAGACACGGCCCAGACUCCUACGGGAGGCAGCAGUGGGGGAUAUUGCGAAAUGGGGGCAACCCUGACGCAGCAACGCCGCGUGAAGGAUGAAGGUUUUCGGAUUGUAAACUUCUUUUAUUAAGGACGAAAAAUGACGGUACUUAAUGAAUAAGCUCCGGCUAACUACGUG
This 482-nucleotide ribosomal RNA is filed under the name uncultured bacterium. Its description in RNAcentral is "partial 16S ribosomal RNA". It matches the Rfam family "Bacterial small subunit ribosomal RNA", at positions 28 to 507 of the family's 1533-position model. The record is from RNAcentral.